RNAcentral lists this long non-coding RNA (619 nucleotides) under Numida meleagris (helmeted guineafowl). Its description in RNAcentral is "lncRNA (ENSNMEG00000010144.1)". Lineage: Eukaryota; Metazoa; Chordata; Aves; Galliformes; Numididae. The record is from RNAcentral.
GGAAGAGGAGGGAUUGGUCUGUUCACUUUCUCAGAAGGUAAAAUUAGGAUCAUCUCCUUCCUUAUGUCUUUCAAGUAUGGGUGCUGGUUCUCCAGAGCAGCAGCUGUUCAACGCCAGCACAAACCUAGCAUGCUUUACUGUUUGUCUUCCACUUGUUUCUUCGGUUAAGGAGAGUCAAGUCAGGAUAGGAAUUAAAAAGCUUCUGGUCACUGCACGGCUGCAGAUGAGAUUCAAUUUCAUUAACACCAACUGCCAUUUAGACUGUCUCAAGACAUCUGAAAAAAGAGCAGCACAUUUGCUGAUGUGACACAGAAUUUAGAGAACACCCAUGUUUAUAUGAAUUAACAGCUGGAGCUUCUGUAAGGUAUGCUAUGUCUAUACAAUAGCUCAGGUUUAAGCCUAAAGGCAGUUUUUUGGACAGUGCUCUCUAGUAUGACAAUGCUAUCAUUCUUUUUCUCUAAUACAAAGCUGCCCAGAGACAACAAAUUGUUAUGACACUCUUCUUGUGCCUUUUUGGAUGAAGAGAGAGAUGUUCAGACACAAACAAAGGUAACUUUCAUAUUGAUUCCUUAUUUAGGACUUCAAUUCUACAUGUAGGUCCACUUUGCCAUUCAGUUUA